UCUCCUCUCUCUCCCGUCCGUCCAACUUGGUGGCCUGCCUGCUGCUCUGCUCUUCCGUCCGUGCGUGCGUGCGUGCGUGCUGGGAUCGCCAUGGAGGUCUCCGGCCCCGUCGUCACGCUCACCCCCGGUCAGGUGUCCUUUCUGCUUCGUCUUUUCCCGGUCCUCGUCGCAUGGAUCUACUCCGAGGUCCUGUACUACAAGAAGAAACCUUCGUCGACACACGGGCCCCGGAACAGAUAUACCAAAGCCAAUUUAUUACGUAUCUGCUAAAUGAUGGUGCUAUAUCCCUUGAGUGGAAGGUGGACGCUGCCAGCGGAACAUGGCAAACAACUUGUUCACAUGGUGCUGAUAGAGCUUCACUUCAUUACCCCCGUGACAGUACCUUUCAAGCUCUCUGCAGUAUUGGAUAGCAGGGGGUGGUCCUGAAUUUAGUUUCAUUUUGGUAAGAUCAAAAUGAAGCAGCACAUGUAAGAAAGCUGAAUACUAUUUAUUGUUAGGAGACUAAGCUUUCAUCAAGAGAAAAGUAGAAUUGACCUUGAAACCUAUGGUAGGAAGAAUAUAGUAAGCAGGUUAGUUAAGUUGAGCAUCAUUGAUCGGCCUGAUAUAUGUUUUUUUGGUUCUAAGGCAGAUAAUUGGCGUCGAAGAAGUAUAGAAGAUCAUAAAAACUAUUAGUUCAUUUUAUUUUAAAUGGAGAAUAUCAGAACAGUAUAAUAAGCAUUGUAGCCUAGCAUUGGUUCACCGUGAAUGAUAUACUUCGGAUGCUCAUAUUCUUCACCUUGUAUAAGUAUCGUGAGAAAUGUUAGUGCGAGAAAUCAGAAAUUUGUUUGCUGGCAAUAGCAAUUGUGGGCGUACAGUUAAAUUAUGCACUUUAAAAGAGCAGUAAAAUGGAUUUAACUUGUGUAGUUUGGUUCUUUUAUAAAUAAACCAGUAUGUAAUCACUUGAGUAUAUGUGCAUCAACCGUUUGGGGCUAUUUAAUUCCGCUUUUCCUGGCUAAUAUCUGUACAAGUACUUUAGAUUUGGGGCUGAACAGUGCACCAACUGUUGCAUUAUAUAUAUCGUGUGAUGCAUAGCAGGCCUAUUAAUCAAUUUAGGGGCAGAACAGAUGACCUAUUGAUUUAGGCCUAUUGCUUUGGGGCUGAACAAAUGACCCGUUGCGCUGAUGGCGCAAAAGGCGAGGGCAAACCAAGCAUUAAAAGCAUGCAUGUUAGAAUAUUUAGAUACCGAUUAGGCCAUAAGGAAAUAGAUAUUUAGGUAUGAAGUUGAUAGGUAGCAUUAUAAGAAAAGGAUGGAGAUCAGUUUACGAUAGCUUAUCUGCAUUGCCUUUAUCAAGCAAACUACAUAGGUAGAGAUGCAUCAUAUAUACAUAGCUUUGAUCAUUUAGCUCAUGGUGAGAAGUGAUGAAUCUCAGGUAGAGUAUUGCCAUUGUUGCACGUGCCCCUUUAAUACCAUGUGCUCGAUUUUAUUUUAAUUUUGCAUUUUUCAACAACUCUGUGUUUGAGAAAGUUCAUACGGUAAGAACUUAGGCGUACAUACAAAAAGAUAAUGUAGGUUUAUAUUUUAAAAAUAUAUGUACCUUCAAAAUCAUAGGUGCUUUUGAAACAUAUUUUUAUAUCAUGGUCUUUCUUUUAUAGUUACUAGUAAGUAUGCACAUGCAACGCACGUAUCAUAGAGUUAUGAAAUAGAGAGAAAAUUGGAUCGCGGGAAGGGGAGCGGUGGCAUAAGUGUCGAGGGAGGAGGAUUGAUUAUUGCGGCGGCCAUGCCUAUAGGUUCCCUUGGUGUUUCCAGGUUAAUUUUAGUGACUCCUUUGAUUAUGUUGGACUAUUGUAGAAAAGAUUAUUGGAAACUUUUUUUGUGUGUAAAAUAGGUAAUCAAUAAUUGGAAAGCAUGUCCGUGCUGGAUGGAAGAGGUAAAAGAAAUUUCCAAGGUAAGACCUGAAGCUUCCUUGAACUAAAUGUUGGUUACGCAAGCAGUCGAAGUUAGC
Molecule: long non-coding RNA, 1982 nt
Organism: Triticum dicoccoides
Lineage: Eukaryota; Viridiplantae; Streptophyta; Magnoliopsida; Poales; Poaceae
Exons: 4
Source: RefSeq, a predicted model, not a curated record